Long non-coding RNA from Drosophila pseudoobscura, 1212 nucleotides. RefSeq lists it as uncharacterized. The record is from RefSeq and is a predicted model, not a curated record. The transcript has 2 exons. Lineage: Eukaryota; Metazoa; Arthropoda; Insecta; Diptera; Drosophilidae.
ACGACGACGAAUGGCGGCAGGCAGGCAGGCAGGCAAACGAAGAAGGCAGGGCGCCGCAACUUUUGAGGUUACGUUACGAAAAACUAUGCGAAACGAAACGUUGUCGUCUGUGGGUCGGCUUGUUUAUGAGGAGCCUCUCCUGGCCAGGCCACCCACCCCAUAACAUGGCCAGAGAGAGCCGUGCCGUGCCGAGCCGAGCAGAGCAGAGCUAGCAAGUGCAGCAGCAGUAGCAUGCGAAAAUCGCAGAAGUUGCCUCCCUCCGAGAGAGCUGCUGGGGCCCCUGGAAGACACACAAACACACACAGGAACAGUCACACGCACACAUUUAAUAUAAAAACAAACAUAAAGAUAAACCGUAAAAGAGACAUGUGAAAAACAAAGGCACGAGAACGAAACAGGAGCAGAACGGCGACCAAUGUAUUCUUAUUGGGAAAAAUUCGUGUACACAAAUGCAAGCGUCCCCAGAGAGGGAGAGAGGAUAUUGAGAGAGCACUCGCUCGCACACACACACUGAAGAGAGCGCACAGUGCAAAUGUAAGAAAAAAGAAGAAGCAGCCAAAUGGCCGCCGCCGCCGCCGCUGCCGCUGCCAAGGAAGAAAAUGAUGGGACAAGGCGAAUAAUGAGGCGACACAUCCAAGAAAACAGACAAAUACACACGCACUGGCACACGAACGCACAAUCGGAAAAAUAUUUCACUAAAAUAUAAAAUAUUCAUUAUAUUCUGUUCCUCUUUAAUGUGUGUUUGCAGUCGGAAAUUGUGACCGCGCAGUCGGUAGCGACCCGGCCAAAAAAUUUAAUUGAUUUUUACCUUUUGGGGAAAAACAAUUUUGUUUCUUGCAGGUUUUUUUUUUGCAAACUAUUUUUAUACUUGUUUAAAUAUAAAAAGCGGUCUGGAUACACACACUCUACACACACAUGGCACGCUGUCGCCGCCGCCGUUGGUUGCCGCAGUCGAAAAGGAAACCCGAUGAUGACAAUGUAAAAAGAGGCAGGAGGAAAAAAUACGGGAAUCGAAUCGAACUCAUUUUCUUUUUUUGGCACUUACACAUGCACUUAAAAACCAUUCACGACACGCUUAAGUUCUGUUAAUGUGUGCUUUUGUAUUUAAUUUAAGUUAUUUAAAUUACAAUUAUUUACACAGGAUGAAGAAGAAGAAUACGGCUAAGAAUUCUUCAACGUCGCGUCCGUCGCAGAACGAUAAUAAAAGCGAAA